GUAGGUGGCAAGCGUUGUCCGGAAUUAUUGGGCGUAAAGCGCGCGCAGGGCGGUUUUUUAAGUCUGAUGUGAAAGCCCACGGGCUCAACCGUGGAGGGUCAUUGGAAACUGGAGAACUUGAGUACAGAAGAGGAAAGCGGAAUUCCACGUGUAGCGGUGAAAUGCGUAGAGAUGUGGAGGAACACCAGUGGCGAAGGCGGCUUUCUGGUCUGUAACUGACGCUGAGGCGCGAAAGCGUGGGGAGCAAACAGGAUUAGAUACCCUGGUAGUCCACGCCGUAAACGAUGAGUGCUAAGUGUUAGGGGGUUUCCGCCCCUUAGUGCUGCAGCUAACGCAUUAAGCACUCCGCCUGGGGAGUACGGCCGCAAGGCUG
This 373-nucleotide ribosomal RNA is filed under the name uncultured organism. RNAcentral's name for it is "partial 16S ribosomal RNA". It matches the Rfam family "Bacterial small subunit ribosomal RNA", at positions 527 to 896 of the family's 1533-position model. The record is from RNAcentral.